Molecule: ribosomal RNA, 771 nt
Filed under: uncultured bacterium
Lineage: Bacteria
Description: bacterial SSU rRNA
Rfam family: Bacterial small subunit ribosomal RNA
Source: RNAcentral
AGAGUUUGAUCCUGGCUCAGGACGAACGCUGGCGGCGUGCUUAACACAUGCAAGUCGAACGGAAAGGCCCUUCGGGGUACUCGAGUGGCGAACGGGUGAGUAACACGUGGGUGAUCUGCCCUGCACUCUGGGAUAAGCCUGGGAAACUGGGUCUAAUACCGGAUAGGACCACACACUUCAUGGUGAGUGGUGCAAAGCUUUUGCGGUGUGGGAUGAGCCCGCGGCCUAUCAGCUUGUUGGUGGGGUAAUGGACUACCAAGGCGACGACGGGUAGCCGGCCUGAGAGGGUGACCGGCCACACUGGGACUGAGAUACGGCCCAGACUCCUACGGGAGGCAGCAGUGGGGAAUAUUGCACAAUGGGCGCAAGCCUGAUGCAGCGACGCCGCGUGAGGGAUGACGGCCUUCGGGUUGUAAACCUCUUUCAGCACAGACGAAGCGCAAGUGACGGUAUGUGCAGAAGAAGGACCGGCCAACUACGUGCCAGCAGCCGCGGUAAUACGUAGGGUCCGAGCGUUGUCCGGAAUUACUGGGCGUAAAGAGCUCGUAGGUGGUUUGUCGCGUUGUUCGUGAAAACUCACAGCUUAACUGUGGGCGUGCGGGCGAUACGGGCAGACUUGAGUACUGCAGGGGAGACUGGAAUUCCUGGUGUAGCGGUGGAAUGCGCAGAUAUCAGGAGGAACACCGGUGGCGAAGGCGGGUCUCUGGGCAGUAACUGACGCUGAGGAGCGAAAGCGUGGGGAGCGAACAGGAUUAGAUACCCUGGUAGUCC